GUGUCAGCUGCCGCGGUAAUACGAAGGGGGCUAGCGUUGCUCGGAAUGACUGGGCGUAAAGGGCGCGCAGGCGGCUUAUCCAGUCAGAUGUGAAAUUCCUGGGCUUAACCUGGGGGCUGCAUUUGAUACGUAUGAGCUAGAGUGUGAAAGAGGGUUGUGGAACUCCAAGUGUAGAGGUGAAAUUCGUAGAUAUUUGGAAGAACACCGGUGGCGAAGGCGGCCACCUGGUUCACAACUGACGCUGAGGCGCGAAAGCGUGGGGAGCAAACAGGAUUAGAUACCCUGGUAGUCCACGCUGUAAACGAUGUAUGCUAGAUGUUAGGCAACUUAGUUGUUUAGUGUCGAAGUUAACGCGAUAAGCAUACCGCCUGGGGAGUACGGCCGCAAGGUUGAAACUCAAAUGAAUUGACGG
Molecule: ribosomal RNA, 412 nt
Filed under: uncultured bacterium
Lineage: Bacteria
Description: bacterial SSU rRNA
Rfam family: Bacterial small subunit ribosomal RNA
Source: RNAcentral